GAAUCUUCCACAAUGGACGCAAGUCUGAUGGAGCAACGCCGCGUGAGUGAAGAAGGUUUUCGGACCGUAAAGCUCUGUUGUUGGUGAAGAAGGAUAGAGGUAGUAACUGGCCUUUAUUUGACGGUAAUCAACCAGAAAGUCACGGCUAACUACGUGCCAGCAGCCGCGGUAAUACGUAGGUGGCAAGCGUUGUCCGGAUUUAUUGGGCGUAAAGCGAGCGCAGGCGGAAGAAUAAGUCUGAUGUGAAAGCCCUCGGCUUAACCGAGGAAUUGCAUCGGAAACUGUUUUUCUUGAGUGCAGAAGAGGAGAGUAGAACUCCAUGUGUAGCGGUGGAAUGCGUAGAUAUAUGGAAGAAUACCAGUGGCGAAGGCGGCUCUCUGGUCUGCAACUGACGCUGAGGCUCGAAAGCAUGGGUAGCGAACAGGAUUAGAUACCCUGGUAGUCCAUGCCGUAAAACGAUGAGUGCUAAGUGUUGGGAGGCUUCCGCCUCUCAGUGCUGCAGCUAACGCAUUAAGCACUCCGCCUGGGGGAGUACGACCGCAAGGUUGAAAC
RNAcentral lists this ribosomal RNA (552 nucleotides) under uncultured bacterium. RNAcentral's name for it is "partial 16S ribosomal RNA". It matches the Rfam family "Bacterial small subunit ribosomal RNA", at positions 359 to 900 of the family's 1533-position model. The record is from RNAcentral.